Molecule: long non-coding RNA, 1513 nt
Organism: Sander lucioperca (pikeperch)
Lineage: Eukaryota; Metazoa; Chordata; Actinopteri; Perciformes; Percidae
Exons: 3
Source: RefSeq, a predicted model, not a curated record
UAUUUUGGAGUAUUUUCCCAGGUUUGCAGGCUGAUAUUUUGGAGUAUUUUCCCAGGUUUGCAGGCUGAUAUUUUGGAGUAUUUCCCCAGGUUUGUAGGCUGAUAUUUUGGAGUAUUUUCCCAGGUUUGUAGGCUGAUAUUUUGGAGUAUUUUCCCAGGUUUGCAGGCUGAUAUUUUGGAGUAUUUUCCCAGGUUUGCAGGCUGAUAUUUUGGAGUAUUUCCCCAGGUUUCCAGGCUGAUAUUUGGAGUAUUUUGGAGUAUUUACCCAGGUUUGCAGGCUGAUAUUUUGGAGUAUUUUCCCAGGUUUGUAGGCUGAUAUUUUGGAGUAUUUUCCCAGGUUUGUAGGCUGAUAUUUUGGAGUAUUUUCCCAGGUUUGCAGGCUGAUAUUUUGGAGUUUUUUCCCAGGUUUCCAGGCUGAUGUUUUGGAGUAUUUUCCCAGGUUUGCAGGCUGAUAUUUUGGAGUAUUUCCCCAGGUUUGUAGGCUGAUAUUUUGGAGUAUUUCCCCAGGUUUGUAGGCUGAUAUUUUGGAGUAUUUUCCCAGGUUUGUAGGCUGAUAUUUUGGAGUAUUUUCCCAGGUUUGUAGGCUGAUAUUUUGGAGUAUUUUCCCAGGUUUGCAGGCUGAUAUUUUGGAGUAUUUUCCCAGGUUUGCAGGCUGAUAUUUUGGAGUAUUUCCCCAGGUUUCCAGGCUGAUAUUUGGAGUAUUUUGGAGUAUUUACCCAGGUUUGCAGGCUGAUAUUUUGGAGUAUUUUCCCAGGUUUGUAGGCUGAUAUUUUGGAGUAUUUUCCCAGGUUUGUAGGCUGAUAUUUUGGAGUAUUUUCCCAGGUUUGCAGGCUGAUAUUUUGGAGUUUUUUCCCAGGUUUCCAGGCUGAUGUUUUGGAGUAUUUUCCCAGGUUUGCAGGCUGAUAUUUUGGAGUAUUUUCCCAGGUUUGCAGGCUGAUGUUUUGGAGUAUUUUCCCAGGUUUGCAGGCUGAUAUUUUGGAGUAUUUUCCCAGGUUUGCAGGCUGAUGUUUUGGAGUAUUUUCCCAGGUUUGCAGGCUGAUGUUUUGGAGUAUUUUCCCAGGUUUGCAGGCUGAUAUUUUGGAGUAUUUUCCCAGGUUUGCAGGCUGAUAUUUUGGAGUAUUUUCCCAGGUUUGCAGGCUGAUAUUUUGGAGUAUUUUCCCAGGUUUGCAGGCUGAUAUUUUGGAGUAUUUCCCCAGGUUUGUAGGCUGAUAUUUUGGAGUAUUUUCCCAGGUUUGUAGGCUGAUAUUUUGGAGUAUUUUCCCAGGUUUGUAGGCUGAUAUUUUGGAGUAUUUUCCCAGGUUUGUAGGCUGAUAUUUUGGAGUAUUUUCCCAGGUUUGCAGGCUGAUAUUUUGGAGUUUUUUCCCAGGUUUCCAGGCUGAUGUUUUGGAGUAUUUUCCCAGGUUUGCAGGCUGAUAUUUUGGAGUAUUUUCCCAGGUUUGCAAGCUGAUGUUUUGGAGUAUUUUCCCAGGUUUUGUAGAAAUAUUUCUAUAUUCUAGAUGUGUUCUAGCGUUGAC